AAAUGCUAAUUCUUUAUUCUGCAUGACUCUAGGAGGUCCAAACAAGAGAUUGUUUUCUUCUACAAGCUGGGUGCAGCAAAAUUCUGCUGUGAGAACCAGGCCAUCUUUAAGAGUUUACGUGGAUGGAAGAAAGUUCCAACACUAGGACCUUGUUGUACCCCGAAGUUUCUAGAGAACUUGAAAUUUCCUAGGUCCAGAUGUGAAGAGAAGCAAGACAUUUCUACUUCUACCCUUUUGCUAAAGCAAGCAGAGUUAAAGGAAUUCCAUAAAGACUCAGAAAAGUGUUUUGGUUUGAUACUGGUCAAAUGCCAGGCACCUAUGGAAUUUGUUUGCUCACCCUCUCUUGCUUUCAGCUGGGCAGAGAGGAAAAAAAGUUAAAAAAAGGGUUCAUGAGUUGAGAUGAGGAGUGGGAGAAAAUAUGAGCAAAACGGGUUCAGAUUUAAAGGUCUAAAGUAAAUUUAUUAUAGACAGAGUCAGAGGGGGAUAAUGAGAAGUGAAAUUAACCUUAAACCACCUUUUUUCCCCCCUGCCCCUCCCUCUUCCCCACUAACAGCACAGGGAGACAGGGUGUGGGGGUUUUGGUCAGUUCAUUAUUUGAGAUCUUUUUCUGUUCACUCAGGGAGAGG
RNAcentral lists this long non-coding RNA (626 nucleotides) under Cyanistes caeruleus (blue tit). Its description in RNAcentral is "lncRNA (ENSCCEG00000023479.1)". Lineage: Eukaryota; Metazoa; Chordata; Aves; Passeriformes; Paridae. The record is from RNAcentral.